UACGAAGGGGGCUAGCGUUGCUCGGAAUCACUGGGCGUAAAGGGUGCGUAGGCGGGUCUUUAAGUCAGGGGUGAAAUCCUGGAGCUCAACUCCAGAACUGCCUUUGAUACUGAAGAUCUUGAGUUCGGGAGAGGUGAGUGGAACUGCGAGUGUAGAGGUGAAAUUCGUAGAUAUUCGCAAGAACACCAGUGGCGAAGGCGAGUCUCUGGACGACUCCUGACACUGAGGCACGAAAGCUAGGGGAGCAAACAGG
RNAcentral lists this ribosomal RNA (253 nucleotides) under uncultured bacterium. RNAcentral describes it as "partial 16S ribosomal RNA". It matches the Rfam family "Bacterial small subunit ribosomal RNA", at positions 524 to 776 of the family's 1533-position model. The record is from RNAcentral.